CGGGAGCUGAAGGGCUUGCAGGGCGCUCUCUAGGCUCUCACGCUCAAACCGAGGGGCCGCUCUGCCGGCACUGAGCAAGAUGCGACAAUGUACGUAUUGCACAAUGCA
This 108-nucleotide unclassified non-coding RNA is filed under the name Rhodotorula toruloides. The record is from RNAcentral. Lineage: Eukaryota; Fungi; Basidiomycota; Microbotryomycetes; Sporidiobolales; Sporidiobolaceae.